AGUGAACGCUUGCUUUAGGCCUAACACAUGCAAGUCGAACGGCAGCACAGUAAGAGCUUGCUCUUACGGGUGGCGAGUGGCGGACGGGUGAGGAAUACAUCGGAAUCUACUUUUUCGUGGGGGAUAACGUAGGGAAACUUACGCUAAUACCGCAUACGACCUACGGGUGAAAGCAGGGGAUCUUCGGACCUUGCGCGAUUGAAUGAGCCGAUGUCGGAUUAGCUAGUUGGCGGGGUAAAGGCCCACCAAGGCGACGAUCCGUAGCUGGUCUGAGAGGAUGAUCAGCCACACUGGAACUGAGACACGGUCCAGACUCCUACGGGAGGCAGCAGUGGGGAAUAUUGGACAAUGGGCGCAAGCCUGAUCCAGCCAUACCGCGUGGGUGAAGAAGGCCUUCGGGUUGUAAAGCCCUUUUGUUGGGAAAGAAAAGCAGCAGGUUAAUACCCCGCUGUUCUGACGGUACCCAAAGAAUAAGCACCGGCUAACUUCGUG
This 492-nucleotide ribosomal RNA is filed under the name uncultured bacterium. RNAcentral describes it as "partial 16S ribosomal RNA". It matches the Rfam family "Bacterial small subunit ribosomal RNA", at positions 29 to 507 of the family's 1533-position model. The record is from RNAcentral.